AAAGGUAUUCGUUUACUUUAUCAGCUCUAAAUCACAAGUACUCGAAAAGUUUAAAGAUUUUAAGCUACUAGUAGAGAAUCAAUUAAAUGCUAAAAUUAAAACACUAAGAUCUGACAAUGGAAAGGAGUAUGUCAAUGAAGCAUUUGAUAAGGUUUGUAGGGAUUCUGGUAUCAAACGUCAACUCACUAUACCCUAUACCCCCGAACAGAACGGCAUGAGUGAGAGGAUGAACCGAACUUUAACAGAACGUGCUAAAUGUAUGCUUAUUAAUUCUGGCCUACCUAAGAAGUUAUGGGCUGAGGCAGUAGCCACCGCUGCAUAUGUUAUCAAUCGCUCACCAACAAAGUCUUUACAAUAUAAAACUCCUGAGGAAUUAUGGUCCGGCAUUAAACCUAAUAUCAGUAACAUUAAAGUGUUUGGUUGCAGAGCUAUGAUGCAUGUGCCAAAGGAGAAGAGGUUAAAAUGGGACUGUAAGUCAAAAGAGCUUAUAUUUGUAGGUUAUUGUUUAGAGUCCAAGGGUUAUAGAUUGUUUGACAAAACUGAAGGAAAAGUAAUGAGAAGCAGAGAUGUAAUCUUCCUAGAAGAGAGUGUAAAUAAAGAUUUUGCUUUUCUACCACUUACUGAAUCGCAAGUAGUUAUAAAUGAAGAUAAUUUAGAUGAUACUACUGACAUGACUUUAAAGGAAAUUGAUAGUGCAGUCUGUGCAAGUGAUGAUGAUUAUGUCCCGGAGCAUUCUAUAUCCAGGAGUGAAUCACCUAUAAACAGAAUUAAUUUAAGGCCUAGAAAACACAGAGCUAUGCCUACCUUCCUCUGUCAGAAGGAAAUUAAGAAAUCUAUUGAGCCAGAUCCUGAAACAUUGGAGCAAGCCUUUAAGUUAAUUUUUUGAAGUAAUAUUGGUUUUUUCAAAAUCGAAUGUAGAUCCUUGUGUCUACUAUAAAUAUGAAAAUGAACAUGUUAUGUUUAUAACUAUAUAUGACAUUUUGUUGUUUCACAACUGUCAUGAGUCAGCAAACAAUAUAAAAAUAAAAAUGAAGAAUAAUUUCAAAAUGAAUGAGCUUGAAAUUGCUUAUUGUUAUAUUGGACUUUGUAUUUCAUACAUUUCAGAAGGAAUAGCCAUUGAUCAAACUAGGUACAUAGAAAAUACAUUAAGACGUUUUGGUAUGGAACAAUGUAACUCAGUAGGAACUCCAAUGGAACCGAAUAUCAAGUUUUCAAGUUCUGAAAAAUUUGAAAGUAUACCUUACCAGGAAGCCACUGGCUGCUUAUUAUACAUCUCACAAGGAACUAGGCCAGAUAUAUGCUAUGCAGUGCAUACAUUAUGUCGAUAUAAUAGUUCUCAUACAGAAGAGCAUUGGAAUGCUGUUAAGAGGUUAUUUCGAUACUUACAAGGGUGCAGCGAUAUCUUGGAAUUCAAAAAGGCAGCAAACUGUUGCCUUGUCUACUACUGAGGCAGAGUAUAUGGCGCUCUCAGCUGCUACUCAAGAAGCUAUGUGGCUGAGACAGUUGCACUGUGAACUGUGGCCUUCUUUAAAGGUUACACCUAUUACUUUGUACUGUGAUAAUCAAAGUGCUAUUAAACUUACAGGUACUUACAGUUAUCAUGCUAGGAGUAAACACAUUGAUGUUCGUCACCACUAUCUGAGGAACAAAGUUGAAUGUGGUGAUGUCAAGAUUGAAUAUGUGGGCACUGAUUCGAUUGUUGCUGACUACCUCACCAAAGCCCUACCGAAGCCCAAACACCAGCACUUCCUCAUCGCUAUGGGUUUGCGUUCAAGGGAGGAUGUUAAACUGAACGCAACCACUUAAUAUUAUGUAGUCUGUAUCUGUCAAUGUAAUCUGUAUCUGUCAAUGUAGUCUGUUAUAAUAAUUGUAUCGCCCCUGUCUGUUCCAAGAAAUUGAGCGGUUCGCACCAUUGUCUAA
Long non-coding RNA from Pieris napi, 1920 nucleotides. RefSeq lists it as uncharacterized. The record is from RefSeq and is a predicted model, not a curated record. The transcript is spliced from 2 exons. NCBI's taxonomy places the organism in Eukaryota, Metazoa, Arthropoda, Insecta, Lepidoptera, Pieridae.